Molecule: long non-coding RNA, 344 nt
Filed under: Schistocerca americana (American grasshopper)
Lineage: Eukaryota; Metazoa; Arthropoda; Insecta; Orthoptera; Acrididae
Description: uncharacterized LOC124619872, transcript variant X2
Source: RNAcentral
UAACAGGUCACGGAAAAAUGUUGCGAACGUUGGUUUGAAAAGCGUUACUUUCCAAGUAAAUAUCCUUUCAUAUGACUGACUGUGGAGAUUUACCCAAACCAGAGAUGAGAGGACUUGGAUUAAAGCAUGCCAAACGUGGCUUUAGCUUUGGUCUGGCACUGGCCAUAGGUGCAGCUCUGUCAUACAAGAUAUUUGUAGCUUCUGCAAGGAAAAGGGAUUUUGCAGAAUUUUACAAGAACUUCGAUCCAGAGGCAGCAGUAGAGCGGAUGGUUGAAGCAGGUGUCCUGCAGUCAGGGAAAUAUGCUGACAAGAAAAAGGGGACAUUCUGGUGACUUAUUCUCUCA